RNAcentral lists this ribosomal RNA (481 nucleotides) under uncultured bacterium. RNAcentral's name for it is "partial 16S ribosomal RNA". It matches the Rfam family "Bacterial small subunit ribosomal RNA", at positions 28 to 507 of the family's 1533-position model. The record is from RNAcentral.
GAUGAACGCUGGCGGCGUGCUUAACACAUGCAAGUCGAACGAAGCACUUUAUUUGAUUUCCUUCGGGACUGAUUAUUUUGUGACUGAGUGGCGGACGGGUGAGUAACGCGUGGGUAACCUGCCUUGUACAGGGGGAUAACAGUUGGAAACGGCUGCUAAUACCGCAUAAGCGCACGGCAUCGCAUGAUGCAGUGUGAAAAACUCCGGUGGUAUAAGAUGGACCCGCGUUGGAUUAGCUAGUUGGUGAGGUAACGGCCCACCAAGGCGACGAUCCAUAGCCGACCUGAGAGGGUGACCGGCCACAUUGGGACUGAGACACGGCCCAAACUCCUACGGGAGGCAGCAGUGGGGAAUAUUGCACAAUGGGCGAAAGCCUGAUGCAGCGACGCCGCGGGAGCGAAGAAGUAUUUCGGUAUGUAAAGCUCUAUCAGCAGGGAAGAUAAUGACGGUACCUGACUAAGAAGCACCGGCUAAAUACGUG